RNAcentral lists this ribosomal RNA (402 nucleotides) under uncultured bacterium. RNAcentral describes it as "partial 16S ribosomal RNA". It matches the Rfam family "Bacterial small subunit ribosomal RNA", at positions 29 to 525 of the family's 1533-position model. The record is from RNAcentral.
AUUGAACGCUGGCGGCAGGCCUAACACAUGCAAGUCGAGCGAGCGGCGGACGGGUGAGUAAUGUAUGGGGACUGCCCGAUAGAGGGGGAUAACUACUGGAAACGGUGGCUAAUACCGCAUACUAUCGGAUACCCAAUAUGGGAUUAGCUAGUAGGUGGGGUAAAGGCUCACCUAGGCGACGAUCUCUAGCUGGUCUGAGAGGAUGAUGAGCAAAACGGGAACUGAGACACGGCCCAGAUCCCUACGGAGGCAGCAGGGGGGAAUAUUGCACAAUGGGCGCAAGCCUGGAGCAGCCAUGCCGGGGGUAUGAAGAGGGCCUUAGGUUUGUAAAGUACUUUCAGCGGGGAGGCGUUACCCGCAGAAGAAGCACCGGCUAACUCCGGGCAAGCAGCCGCGGUAAUA